UGGGGAAUUUUGGACAAUGGGCGCAAGCCUGAUCCAGCCAUGCCGCGUGCGGGAAGAAGGCCUUCGGGUUGUAAACCGCUUUUGUCAGGGAAGAAAUCUUCUGAGUUAAUACCUCGGGAGGAUGACGGUACCUGAAGAAUAAGCACCGGCUAACUACGCGCCAGCAGCCGCGGUAAUACGUAGGGUGCAAGCGUUAAUCGGAAUUACUGGGCGUAAAGCGUGCGCAGGCGGUUUUGUAAGACAGAGGUGAAAUCCCCGGGCUCAACCUGGGAACUGCCUUUGUGACUGCAAGGCUUGAGUGCGGCAGAGGGGGGAUGGAAUUCCGCGUGUAGCAGUGAAAUGCGUAGAUAUGCGGAGGAACACCGAUGGCGAAGGCAAUCCCCUGGGCCUGCACUGACGCUCAUGCACGAAAGCGUGGGGAGCAAACAGGAUUAGAUACCCUGGUAGUCCACGCCCUAAACGAUGUCAACUGGUUGUUGGGAAGGUUCCUUCUCAGUAACGUAGCUAACGCGUGAAGUUGACCGCCUGGGGAGUACGGCCGCAAGGUUG
RNAcentral lists this ribosomal RNA (549 nucleotides) under uncultured bacterium. RNAcentral's name for it is "partial 16S ribosomal RNA". It matches the Rfam family "Bacterial small subunit ribosomal RNA", at positions 355 to 896 of the family's 1533-position model. The record is from RNAcentral.